AAUAUAAUAUGAUUAAAACAAAUAAAGAUAUAUCAACUAAAGUAUUUUCCAAUGAAAACCACGAUCAAAAGAACUUUCUCUAUUUUGAUUGGUGGCUAUAUUAAAAUAUUCCCAAUACUUUCUCUAUCUGUGAUUAUGUUGUUAUGUAUACUCGGAGUAUGUUUUGUUUUAUCAGUUUGGGCAGUAGAAGCAGUGAGGCAGCAGCCUGCAUCCUUGCCAUCUGGAAAUUUCUUCACUAAUGACUAACUAGACUUGUUAAUGAUUAAUUAGGAGCAGGGUAGAGGUGAGGCUGGGGCACCAACCAGCCCCAACCGUGGAUCCGCCACUGCCAGUGCGCGCGCGCGGGCGCGCGUCGCCGGAGGGAAGACGGUGAGACGCCGCCAGCGAACGACCAUCCGCCUCCCAAAGGGAGUUUAUGUAGAAUAGCCGUGGCGUUCCAUCCCAUGUUAACUGGUAUGUGGAUUAAGCUCUUUGUUCAUCUAUACGGCUACUUGUCCAGUACUAUUAUGACCACACACCACCCAUAUGACACCAUUCCACCAACAGAAAUGGGUCCUAGUGUUCCAAGAGAGCAAGACUCCUCCUGGAUCUUCAGUGAUACCCUUCUUGAAAUCAAUCAGCGAUUGUAGAUCUAUGUUGUUCUCGCGGACAGUUGAGCAAUGGACGACGUCACGACGACAUUGUUGCCAACUCCAUAGCAUAGCAGCAGCAACACCAGUUGUACGAACACGGCGAGUUUCGCGGGUUGUUCCUGCUUGGAACACAUAUCACCUGCAAAAUAUGAAUAAAACAGCCAUGUUAUAUCUCUUUCCA
This is a long non-coding RNA of Oryza sativa Japonica Group (Japanese rice), 813 nucleotides long. RefSeq lists it as uncharacterized. Lineage: Eukaryota; Viridiplantae; Streptophyta; Magnoliopsida; Poales; Poaceae. The record is from RefSeq and is a predicted model, not a curated record.